RNAcentral lists this ribosomal RNA (492 nucleotides) under uncultured bacterium. Its description in RNAcentral is "partial 16S ribosomal RNA". It matches the Rfam family "Bacterial small subunit ribosomal RNA", at positions 29 to 507 of the family's 1533-position model. The record is from RNAcentral.
AGUGAACGCUGGCGGUAGGCCUAACACAUGCAAGUCGAACGGCAGCACAGUAAGAGCUUGCUCUUACGGGUGGCGAGUGGCGGACGGGUGAGGAAUACAUCGGAAUCUACUUUUUCGUGGGGGAUAACGUAGGGAAACUUACGCUAAUACCGCAUACGACCUACGGGUGAAAGCAGGGGAUCUUCGGACCUUGCGCGAUUGAAUGAGCCGAUGUCGGAUUAGCUAGUUGGCGGGGUAAAGGCCCACCAAGGCGGCGAUCCGUAGCUGGUCUGAGAGGAUGAUAAGCCACACUGGAACUGAGACACGGUCCAGGCUCCUACGGGAGGCAGCAGUGGGGAAUAUUUGACAAUGGGGGGAAGCCUGAUCCAACCAUAGCGCGUGGGUUGAGGAAGCCUUCGGGUUGUAAAGCCCUUUUUUUGGGAAAGAAAAGCAGCAGGUUAAUACCCCGCUGUUCUGACGGUACCCAAAGAAUAAGCACCGGCUAACUUCGUG